RNAcentral lists this ribosomal RNA (490 nucleotides) under uncultured bacterium. RNAcentral's name for it is "partial 16S ribosomal RNA". It matches the Rfam family "Bacterial small subunit ribosomal RNA", at positions 30 to 507 of the family's 1533-position model. The record is from RNAcentral.
AUUGAACGCUGGCGGCAGGCCUAACACAUGCAAGUCGAACGGUAACAGGAAACAGCUUGCUGUUUCGCUGACGAGUGGCGGACGGGUGAGUAAUGUCUGGGAAACUGCCUGAUGGAGGGGGAUAACUACUGGAAACGGUAGCUAAUACCGCAUAACGUCGCAAGACCAAAGAGGGGGACCUUCGGGCCUCUUGCCAUCGGAUGUGCCCAGAUGGGAUUAGCUAGUAGGUGGGGUAACGGCUCACCUAGGCUACGAUCCCUAGCUGGUCUGAGAGGAUGACCAGCCACACUGGAACUGAGACACGGUCCAGACUCCUACGGGAGGCAGCAGUGGGGAAUAUUGCACAAUGGGCGCAAGCCUGAUGCAGCCAUGCCGCGUGUAUGAAGAAGGCCUUCGGGUUGUAAAGUACUUUCAGCGGGGAGGAAGGGAGUAAAGUUAAUACCUUUACUCAUUGACGUUACCCGCAGAAGAAGCACCGGCUAACUCCGUG